Molecule: transfer RNA, 73 nt
Filed under: Camelus bactrianus (Bactrian camel)
Lineage: Eukaryota; Metazoa; Chordata; Mammalia; Artiodactyla; Camelidae
Also listed under: 2 other names
Rfam family: tRNA
About the family: Transfer RNA (tRNA) molecules are approximately 80 nucleotides in length. Their secondary structure includes four short double-helical elements and three loops (D, anti-codon, and T loops). Further hydrogen bonds mediate the characteristic L-shaped molecular structure. tRNAs have two regions of fundamental functional importance: the anti-codon, which is responsible for specific mRNA codon recognition, and the 3' end, to which the tRNAs corresponding amino acid is attached (by aminoacyl-tRNA synthetases). tRNAs cope with the degeneracy of the genetic code in two manners: having more than one tRNA (with a specific anti-codon) for a particular amino acid; and 'wobble' base-pairing, i.e. permitting non-standard base-pairing at the 3rd anti-codon position.
Source: Rfam by way of RNAcentral
GAGGGUAUAGCUCAAGUGGUAGAGCGCAUGCCUAGCAUGCACAAGGUCCUAGGUUCAAUCCUCAGUACUUCCU